AUGGGCAAAAAGAGUAAAUCAAAAACUCCCAGAGAGAUGCAAGAUAAUAUAGCUGUUGGUAUCGGUGGCAGCUUCUUAGGUCCUCUUCAAACAGGUUUAGAUGAUUCUUUCCAUUUUGUCAAUUUAUAACUCUAUUUUGCAGUCUUGUUUACUAUUUAGUGUAAGUUUCCUUGUGAAAAUGAUUAAGCUUUCUUUGGAAUAAACUUUGGGUAGUGUUCACUGGUUUGAUUACAUUUUGCAGAUCCAGAGGCUAUCGAAACAGCAAGGGGAAGGCAACUGCAUUUGUAAGUACUUACGUAUCAAUUUUUAAGUGCUUAUGCUUUCAAAUUUUCUUUGUGUUUAUUUUUGAAAGCAAUCUGUAUUCUGUGUGUUGGUUGGAGUUGUGGUGUUUAAUAUAGCCCAUAUUCAGGGACUAUGUUAGAUGCAUUCUCUGUGUAAAUAUUUGGUCCUAUUCUUGGUAGUUGGGUUAAAGGAUUAUAUGCAUAUUUUUAUCAGAGGAUGGAUGAUUCUGGUCUAAGCUAAGGGUAUUCUAAUAAUUUGAUUUCCCCUGUGUGCAGUCUUGCAAAUGUUGAUCCUAUUGAUGUUGCCAGAAAUAUUGCAGGGUUAAAGCCAGAAACUACCAUCGG
This 626-nucleotide long non-coding RNA is filed under the name Prunus dulcis (almond). RNAcentral describes it as "sRNA ncRNA". Lineage: Eukaryota; Viridiplantae; Streptophyta; Magnoliopsida; Rosales; Rosaceae. The record is from RNAcentral.